This 107-nucleotide non-coding RNA is filed under the name Micromonas commoda. RNAcentral's name for it is "Micromonas sp. RCC299 TPP riboswitch aptamer (THI element)". It matches the Rfam family "TPP riboswitch aptamer (THI element)". Rfam says of the family: Vitamin B(1) in its active form thiamin pyrophosphate (TPP) is an essential coenzyme that is synthesised by coupling of pyrimidine and thiazole moieties in bacteria. The previously detected thiamin-regulatory element, thi box was extended, resulting in a new, highly conserved RNA secondary structure, the THI element, which is widely distributed in eubacteria and also occurs in some archaea. Lineage: Eukaryota; Viridiplantae; Chlorophyta; Mamiellophyceae; Mamiellales; Mamiellaceae. The record is from Rfam by way of RNAcentral. RNAcentral also lists the same sequence under 1 other name.
UGACGGCACUGGGGGUGUCCGAGGCUCUUACGAGCCGAGGGCUGAGAUCAUACCCUUAUUCACCGGAUCGCGGUAAUGCGCGCGUCGGGAAGUGCUUCACUUUGCGG